GACGAACGCUGGCGGCGUGCUUAACACAUGCAAGUCGAGCGGUAAGGCCCUUUCGGGGGUACACGAGCGGCGAACGGGUGAGUAACACGUGGGUGACCUGCCCUCAGCUCUGGGAUAAGCCUGGGAAACCGGGUCUAAUACUGGAUAUGACUCCAUGACGCAUGUUGUGGGGUGGAAAGCCUUGUGCGGCUGAGGAUGGGCCCGCGGCCUAUCAGCUUGUUGGUGGGGUGANGGCCUACCAAGGCGACGACGGGUAGCCGGCCUGAGAGGGCGACCGGCCACACUGGGACUGAGACACGGCCCAGACUCCUACGGGAGGCAGGCAGUGGGGAAUCUUGCGCAA
This 343-nucleotide ribosomal RNA is filed under the name uncultured bacterium. RNAcentral describes it as "bacterial SSU rRNA". It matches the Rfam family "Bacterial small subunit ribosomal RNA", at positions 28 to 371 of the family's 1533-position model. The record is from RNAcentral.